AACAAACGCUGGCGGCGUGUCUUAAGCAUGCAAGUUGAGCGGCAAGGAGGAGAGAUCCUCCCUAGAGCGGCGGACUGGUGAGUAACGCGUGGGUAAUCUAUCGUAGGCAUGGGGAUAGUCACUAGAAAUAGUGGGUAAUACCGAAUACGUUCCAUGAGGGGAGUACUUAUGGAAGAAAGGGUGCUAUGGCACUGGCCUUAGGUGAGCUCGCGUCCCAUUAGCUAGUUGGUGAGGUAAAGGCCCACCAAGGCGAUGAUGGGUAGCCGGCCUGAGAGGGUGUACGGCCACACUGGGACUGAGAUACGGCCCAGACUCCUACGGGAGGCAGCAGCUAAGAAUAUUCCGCAAUGGACGAAAGUCUGACGGAGCGACGCCGCGUGGAUGAAGAAGGCCGAAAGGUUGUAAAGUUCUUUUGCUAGGGGAGAAUAAGUGAGGAGGGAAUGCCCUCAUGAUGACAAGGACUAGCGAAUAAGCCCCGGCCAACUACGUGCCAGCAGCCG
RNAcentral lists this ribosomal RNA (500 nucleotides) under uncultured bacterium. RNAcentral describes it as "bacterial SSU rRNA". It matches the Rfam family "Bacterial small subunit ribosomal RNA", at positions 29 to 517 of the family's 1533-position model. The record is from RNAcentral.